UAGGGAAUCUUCCGCAAUGGGCGAAAGCCUGACGGAGCAACGCCGCGUGAGUGAUGAAGGUCUUCGGAUCGUAAAACUCUGUUAUUAGGGAAGAACAAAUGUGUAAGUAACUAUGCACAUCUUGACGGUACCUAAUCAGAAAGCCACGGCUAACUACGUGCCAGCAGCCGCGGUAAUACGUAGGGCGCAAGCGUUAUCCGGAAUUAUUGGGCGUAAAGAGCUUGUAGGCGGUUCGUCGCGUCUGGUGUGAAAGCCCAUCGCUUAACGGUGGGUUUGCGCCGGGUACGGGCGGGCUAGAGUGCAGUAGGGGAGACUGGAAUUCCCGGUGUAACGGUGGAAUGUGUAGAUAUCGGGAAGAACACCAAUGGCGAAGGCAGGUCUCUGGGCUGUUACUGACGCUGAGAAGCGAAAGCGUGGGGAGCGAACAGG
This 429-nucleotide ribosomal RNA is filed under the name Bacteroidota bacterium. Its description in RNAcentral is "Bacteroidetes bacterium partial 16S ribosomal RNA". It matches the Rfam family "Bacterial small subunit ribosomal RNA", at positions 355 to 776 of the family's 1533-position model. Lineage: Bacteria; Pseudomonadati; Bacteroidota. The record is from RNAcentral.